AGAGUACAUGUCAGAUCAUUAAUUGUGAAUAUAGGUGUAAUAUAGUCAACUUGUUGUGAGAUAUAGCAGGCUUUGCUUGUAUCCAUUUUGGAAAACAAGUGGUGGACAUCCUGAAUGGGAUUUAGUCAUCUGAAUGUCUGUUUCUUGAGUCAUGGUACUAAAAAUUUGCAAUCAUUUGGUGGAAUACUGAAAUGCAUCUCUUACUGAAGAUCUUCAGUUGCCUAUGUAUUGGAGCCGUAGUCUGUUUUGCUCGAAGUAAACUAACUUGCUUUGUGUUCUUUUGGUACUUUGUACAGGCAAGGACAAGAUUAAGUGAUCUUUGCUUGCUGAUGAUUAUGGAAUUUCCAGACUGAUCCCAAACUGUGUAGUUGAUGUAUGUAAAGUGAGUAGAGUGACUGUCUUGUGACUGCUGAUUAAGAUAUUUGCUGCAUGAUCAGAUGUUUACAUCUGACUUACUAGGAUGAAUUGUUGAGGAGGUGUAUCUUCCUGAUCAGAUGGCCACAGCUAACUUAUUUGGUGGUUUAUCUAUUAUGCUGCUCUAGAUUAUCAGGCGUUAAAUCUUGUUCUAAUCUUUUGUCUACACGUAAUCUCCCACAAACAAAACUUGAUAACAUGAGAAUGGCCAAGGUCUACAUUUGUUCAGCACCCAUCACUCAGGAUGUCGUUCCUGAUGUAUUACAGGGAGAAAUGACCAGCGUUUCUCAGUCAUCCAGAGUCGUCCAAAGCCCAGCAGUUGUUGGCAUUAUGCCUUAAACAAGGGGGAGAGGUCGAACCUCUUAAACAGAAACAAAACAUGGAGUUGCAGCCCCUAUAGUAUCUGCUCUAAGCAAUUCCCUGUUUCCAUAAUUCCUAAUCUGACAUAUCAGAUUGUGGAAAGGUGAAUCCUGUCCUGCUCCUUGGAUUAGAUCCAGUGCUGCCUUCGAAUCCGUUUCCAGGAUCACUCUCCUUUCUCCUGAGCUCCACGCCAUUUCCAUCCCUUUUGAGUACUCCCCAUCGCUCUACUGUCGUAUUGUCUGUUAGCCCAAUAUUCACUGCGAAGCCAGCUUUCCAUCUUUCCCAGCAUUAUGCCUUUCGUUGGCAUAGUCUCUAACCAAAUUCUCAUAUUCAUCUCCUAUUUUCCCAGCAUUAUUGCGCUGAACUGAAUUCCCCAUGAGAAAGAAGUACCAGAUGAUUUCCGAUAAGUUCUCAAGUGUAUUUUGCAAAUGAGCUUCUUUAUCAAGACGCAAACAGCCUUGGUUGCCUGCCUAAACCGCCUCGCUGGAACGAGAUCAAUACAUUUUUUUUCGGAUCACUGCAUACCUUGACUAAGGCUAAUCACUAGUUGUAACUGCAUAAUCAUGAGUGUCGUGAAGAGGUUCGGCUUAAAGCAGCAAAAGAAGUGGGCCACAAUGAAAUGUUAAUUGGGUACUGCGCAGCAUUAAAAAUAUGAAAAAUCGUUCACCAUGUCAUUCACUCUUGAAAUGUUAAUCUUGUCAUUCACUCUUGAAAUGUUAAUCUUACGUCUCUUGUAGACUUAAAUUUGCAAAAUUUGGUCUCAACGUAAGUUGUAAACUAAUUUUUAAUAGAGUUAUUAUCACUUUACCCUCUUAAACUAUAUCACUACUAUCAGUUUACCCUAUAACGUUAUCUUUUAAUCAUUUUAUCCCCAUAAGUAAUUCAACUCAACGUGUUAAGAAAUUUUGGACAAAAAUACCCUUUUAUUUUAUGUUAUUACUACAUUAUUAUUAUCCCUUUCUUCGUUUGGAUUAUAGUGAUACAAUCGCUUUACUUCAUAACAUUAUUUUCUAGACAUUUUACCUUAUUAUUAAUCUAACUAGUAUGGUCAAAAAAUUUUAAAUAUAUUUACCCUUUUUUAUAUAUAAUUAAAAAUAAAAAAGAUUGGAAUGGUUAUUCUUCUUUUUUUCACUUUAAGAGAUCGAAAAAAUCUUUUUUUCAUACUUAUUACUACUAGGAAAAGAAAAAGAGAUAGGAAAGAAGGAGACAAAAAAUUAGAUUUUGCAAAAAAAAAGAAAAUAAAGAAAAGUCUAACAUUAUCGUAUUACUUUAAGGUUAUCGGGAUUAGAAUUGAAAUUUGGUGGUAAACAAAAAAGUGAAAUAAUUUUAAAAUAAUAAAAGUAUUUAAUUCUUUCUUAUUUGUAAUUUUUUUAAAAAAAAUUGAGCUCUCUCUCUCCCCCUCCCCCUCUCCAUAUUUCUAUUUUUUUCAAUAUUAAUAAGAUUGCCAAGAAAAAAAAUUAAUAUUUUGACUUUUUUUCUUGAUACUAAAAAGAAGAAGAGUCACUCUAAAUUUUUUAUUAUUUUGAUUAUGCAAAGAGGGGGGUAUUUUCUUCUAAAGUUUUUAACUUGCUAAGUUGGUUUAAUGGUGGGAUAAAUUGUCUAAAAAAUAAUUUUAGGUGGUAAAUUGAUAAUGAGACUAUAUUUUAUGGGGGUAAAGUGAUAAUAAUUUUAAGGGUUAAACAUGUUUUUUCACUUUAAUUAACAAACUCCGUUAAGUUUGAUCAUUAGUCUUGGGGGUAAAGUGACUAAAAGAUAACGUUAAGGGGGAAAUUGAUAGUAACACCAAACGUUAAGGGGGUAAAGUGAUAAUAACCUUUUUUAAUAUGAAAUCACCACACAAUCAACAUGUAGUCAUUUUCUUUUAUGUAUAAAUAGGUCAAAUUCAACUUUUUUAGUGUAAAAAAUGAAUAUGGAUUAGGUCAAAUUUCACUUUUUUUUUGGGAAAAAAAAUGAAUAUGAUUUGAGUCAGAUUCUACGUUUUAGGAACAAAAAUAAAGAUGGAUUGAAUCAUUUGUUUAACUAUAAAUGAGAUUUAACCUUUUUGUUUAAAAAAAAAAGAUCAUAUGUGAUCACUUGAUGGAUUAAGGAUAAAUUUUAUCGACUUAAUUUUGUAGGGGAUGCAAAGUUAGCAUUUAAAAGUGAAGAACGAAAAAAUUCGUUUGGUGAAAUGUGAAAAACAUUUUAAACGAUUUUUCCUUAAAAAUAAAAAUAAUCUGAAUUUGUAGUCCUUUCUUUUAUUUUUUUAUUUUUUGAAGAGAGAAUUUGAAAAUUUUCCGGUGGGCUUCUUUUCUUUCUCCUUAAAGUGUUUCAGUGUGAAUUUACCUUUUUCUUGAAGGGACAUAAUAUGUAUGUCACAAUAAAUAAAACUAGCCAGCUGAAUAUUUCUCAAGACUGUUAUGCUUUUCAUUUCAAGGGACAAUUGAUUAUUGAUCUAGGAAACAAGAAAAUCAAAAAGUAAUUGAGGAAUAUGCGAUAUUUUUCUAUAUCGUUUAGGAGGAAAUGUUGGGGUAGUCAAUUAAAAACCCUGAAAGAAUAAAAAACAAAACGAAAAAGUAAAAUCCGACUGGUACGUUACGACGUCGGAUUAUCCAUACAUUUCAUUUCCGUUCUCCCGUUGAACCCUACUAAAACCCUCUUCUGUGUCCAAUUUCAAGAAAUAGCCCCAAAAAGGGUUUAGAAGAAGGAAGUUGAAAAUGGCGAGCCGUCUCGUUCAUUUCCGACCGACGGCGAGACUCCGGUGGCUGUCUACAGCAACAGAAAUGGCAACGGCAACGGCAACGGCAACGGCAACGACAGCGACAACGGCUGUGACCCAAGAUACAGCAACGGCUGUGACCAAAGACAAGCCUAAUAUCUCUCUGUUCAGGAAACUGAAGGAGCUGAAUAUUGGACCAGGCUCAGACGCUAAUGUUUCAGUGGUUCUAGAUGAAUGGGCCAAUGAAAGUCAGGCUAAACGAUUCGAUGCUGCUAGACAAAUCAAUUUUCUCCGAUCCCGCAAACAUUACCAUCUAGCCCUCCAGGUAAUUUCUUGAAUUUGGUUAUUUUCUUCUUUCUUCUUCUUGUUUUUUUUUUGUUUUUUUAAAAAUUGUUUCUUUAGGCAUUCCUAGAUUUGUGGAUGAAUGAAUAUGCGACACGUGAGAUUUAUGCUUUAGAUGGUUUAUUGUGCUUGUGGAGUGUAUUUAUUCAAAUCAAGUUGCUGUAUUCUUAUUGGGUGCUAAAUUGUUGUAAUGUGGUGAAAUUUUCUUUGUAAUUGAUAUUAGUAUGCAUUCUAAUCUUUUGUUUCGAUUUGAAUAAAAAAAACUUUGAUUGUUUUAUUCCUUUUCGAAUGCUUAAUAUUCUUAGACAGAUAGCGAAUGUGAUUGUGGAAAAGAGCAUUACUUUAUCAUAGGAAGAAAAGUCAUUUGUUGGGUAUGCAAGAAGUGAUUGUUUAUUUGGGUAAUAUGGUCGGGUUGGAAACAGCAUAGAUGUGCCGUUUGUUAGCAUUGACAACUAUUUGUAAAACAGGGGAGGCAUAGAAUUUGGGUAGCAGAUGAUAUGUUUAUUGAACAUUAGAUGCUCAGUUUUUGUAGGAAGCUUUUUACCCUUAUGGAAACAAAAUCUGGGAUGUAUUCUUUUAAUAUGCUUGUUGAAAAUAGGUAAAGGAUCAAGCGUGGGUUGUAUAGGAAAUUGUACCUGUAUACCAACAAUGGGGAUUGAUGAGCAAGGAACAAGUUGAGUUGUAGAUUAAAUUGUAGUUAUCUAUCAACUUCAGGAAAUAUAUAGACUUUGCAUGGACAUCUGUUGAAUUAAUAAUAUCUUUUCCUUCCUUAGAUGGCAUUUUAUUUGCUUCGGUUUGUUCUCAAACUGGAUAGUUUGGUUUGGACUUUGUAAUUGUUUUCCUUAUCUUGUUACUAAUGCAGCUAUCAGAAUGGCUGGAGAGCAGCAAGAUUGAGAUGAACAAUGCUGACCGAGCUGUGCAGAUUGACCUUCUUGCAAAAGCUAAGGGUAUUGCUUCAGCUGAAGUUUAUUUUGAUGGUCUUCAGGGAUCUGCGAAAACAAACAAAACUUAUGGAGCACUUCUCAACUGUUAUUGUAAGGAGAAAAUGUUGGAUAAGGCUGUCCAACUCUUUGCCAAGAUGAAGGAGCUGAAUUUUACUUCCACUCUGAACUAUAACAAUGUGAUGUCUUUAUACUUGAGCAGUAACCAGCCCGAACAAGUCCCUCUGCUUGUGCAAGAAUUGGAGCAGAAUAAACUUAAAGCAGAUAAAUAUACGUGCAAUCUGUUGAUUAACAGCUAUGCUUCCUCAAAUGAUAUAAAUGCAGCGGAGAAAGUUCUUGAGAAGAUGAAGAAAGAUAAGGUAAAGUAUGAUUGGUUCACUUAUGGGAACCUAGCAACUAUUUACGUCAAUGCUGGACUUCUUCCCAAAGCCAAAGAAAUGAUAGGAGAGAUGGAGAAAUUUGAAAAUGUGCGUGAUCGUGAGUUUUUCCAUAUGCUAAUCAACUUGUAUGAGCUUAUGUCUGACUUGGCUGGGGUUAAUCAUGUGUGGAACUCCCUCAAGUCAGUUUUCCCCUCCCCCAGUAACACUAGCUAUCUCAUCAUGCUGUUGGCUCUGUUUAAAUUGGGUGACCUGGAAAACCUGGAGAAGUAUUUUAGAGAGUGGGAAUCUCAAUGCUCAUUGUACGAUGUCAGACUAUUCAAUGUGGUCUUGGAAUCUUAUCUUAAUAGGAACAUGAUUGGGGAAGCUAAUGCUCUCUAUGAAAGUAUGGUGACCAAAGGAAUCGAUCCCACCUUAGCGACACUGAAUAUUUUCACAAUCUACCACAUUAAGAAUGAUCAGAUUGAUUCAGCUCUGAAGUAUCUGGAGAUGGGUGCAUGCAAGACAAUCCCAGAGGAACAUAGGUGGUUUCCUACAGAUGAAACUGUCAAAUUGUUUUUAGAAUAUUUUGAGAAGAAAAAUGAUGCAACUAGAGCUGAGAAGUUUUGUAACAGCAUGAAGAAGAUUGGUCGUCUUGAUUCUGCCGUUUAUGCAUCUCUGCUUUCCAAAAGUUGAUGACUAGAUCACUGCAUCGAAGUAUAGAGGUGUUUCUGAUUUAAAUAUGGCAGUGAGAAGAGGCCUUGACAAUUUGAUAUUUUAUACUGGCCUAAUUUAAGUCUUGCAAGGAAAUCGAGUUAAUGUUCACAAAUGCUAUUGUGCGAAGCAAAGCUGGCCUGUACUGAAACCUAGACCUAAACUAUGGCGGUGUAAGACCCCCGCGUGCACGCCCGCCGGGGGGGGGGGGGAUCUAAACUGUGGUCGAACGCAGUUAUUAUCACAACGAGCAAUGUCGAUUCCCUUGUAUAUUUGUACGUAGGACAUUAGUUCUCCAUAUUCUGAUCAACUUGCCUUUUCACUUCAGCGUUCUUUUCUUGGUGUUCUGUUGUUUUUUGGUUUUUUUUUUUUCAGCAAUUGCCUCUGAUGUUGAAUCCCUGUACUAGAUAUGACAGCAUUCAUUGUUUAACCAUCCAAGCAAACGAACCAAAGAAGUUUCUUGGCUCGUUUGCGCAAUUUAAACUGGUGACGAUAAGAUGUUAGAACUGAUUAAUUAUCAUAAUGCUGUUGUAAGAAGGUUGUUGAUGAUUGAAGUGGCCAGCGUUAGGUUGAGGUUCCCGCACUGAGCAUCAGAUCUUGGGAAACAGUUAAGAGGUUCAAUCUUUCUUGUGUUUUAGUAUGAUAAUUUCUCAGGAGCAGCAGUUAAGUGCUUGAUUAAAGAAGAAAAUAAAGGAAUAAAGGUAUUUCAACAAACAAGAUCGCCGUGUUUGGACGCUAAUUCCUGGAUAAGUCUCUACCUCUCAACUUCUAUUCAACUAUUUCCUUCUAAUUUUUUUUUUUAUUUUGAGCAUCCGGGAUCCCUACUUUCAGUGAGACUAAUCCGUAUUCGACCCGAAAACACCCGCAGAGUUCGACUUAUUUUUUACCAUUCGGUAUCUCCAUAUUCAGUGAGACUAAUCUGCAUUCGGCCCAAGAAUACUCGCAGAGUUCAACUUUUACUCAGGAUAAAGCUCUGACUCAGAACUUUUCAAAAUAUCACAUACAGGAAUCGAAUUUAUGACUUUUUAUUGCCGUUAACAACUCGCUUACUAAUUGUCCCAAACUUACGGGUUAUUUCCUUUUAAAUUGUCUUAUCAAUCAAAGCCGGGAUGAGUUGUUGUGGCACGUCUGCUGAAACAGCAAAUACCACGUCACAGCGCAUCCUCCACUGGGAACCUUUGAGAAUAUGGGUCGACUUGAAUAUCACUCAUAAGUCCAAUUUCUUCAUAAACCAAGAAUUGAGUUUGAAUUCAAGAAUAUGAUUUGUUACGUGAGUCAAGCUCAAGCACAUCAAAACUCAACUUAUAAAAUCCAAUUGACAGACCUAUUUCACUUGAACAGAUAAAAUGCUCAAAUAAGAUAAGUAGAAUUCACUAACUUCAUUGACAGCAAUUCAUGAAGGACCCUUACAUGUCCAUUUGACUGUAUUACUUUUGUCAAAAGCCAACUAUUGAGCUUAGCAAGUAUUUCGUCCCAAGUACCUGUUUUAUACCCUGAUAAGGAUUUCCCACGAAAAUUACCCUCAAUGUGCACGAUCAGGAUGUCCUCCUAAGUCCUAGGUCUUAUCCGAUUUCAUAACCAGUGUGCAAAGCUAUUUAGGUCGGUUCUUGAACUUGUCUUAAUUGAAAUGCUUGAAACCCCAAAACUUUGGUAUAUCUACCACUUUGAGCAUAUGGAAUUCUUACAAUCUUAUAUUCAUCUGCUUGGCUGAGAUAACCAAAUCCAAGAGCCAAGAAACUACUAUGCCUAUUCGAAUGCUUUAUGUUAAUGCUUGAAGAGGAAAUGCACUUAUAUUUUCUAAUACAAUGAUUCCAUAAAUAUGGUUUGCCCAAUGUAGUAGAUGGUAUUUCUUUUUUAUUGGCAAAACUUUGGUUUUUAGCACAAAGGAAAUUGGAGGCUUUGACAGGGCUAGCUAUAAACCACAUAAAAUGUACCAGUUGGUUACUCUAGGGAAAGAGAUGAAUCUGAAAAGUUGGAGUUCAAGUUCACCAUGGUAAGGAAGCCAGAUCAAACCAGCCCCGUGCCUGAGUCACCUACUGAAGCAAGUAAAUCAUCAACAGUGGAAGAGAAGGCAUGGAACUAUAGCUGCUAUGCCUACGCCGCCAGAGAAGAUGAAGCUCAUUUCUUCUGGGAAUGCAAGGACUAAGAAGAAAUCACAGCAGUGCAUUAGCAAUUCAGUGUAUGGUGGUUGCAGGCUUGCAGCAGCAGCAGCUACAAGAGGGAAGCCUCGCAUCCCAAGCCCAAGGCAAAUGGUCCUCUUAGGAGCAAAGCUGAAGCCAUAACCUGGAGAUGCUUUUGGAUAAACCUGCUACUGGUAAUCAAAGCAUACCAUCCUUUUGGAUACACACAUGAGACGGAUCAAGCUUUCAGCUGGAAGCUACAACAGGACUGUAACAAUCACCUCGAAAGGAAGGUCUGGAAUUGUUUCGUGUUUCUUGGACUGGAAUCUAAAUAGUUCGCUUGGGUUUUUCAGAUUGUGAGGUGUUAUGAAAAUAGAGAAUUUUUGAACCCAUAGUUGGACCUAAAAAUUUGCUGCUUCUAUACACAAAAAAGAAGACACAAAACCCAUCCAAUUUUGAUACUUUGGAACUUUUUAUCGAUUGUGAACAAAAUGGCUGACCAGAAACGCCCUGUUUUUCCGAUAGAAAUCAUCACUCCGUUUUUUGAUCCAGCUACCUCCUAAGGUCUUGAUGAAGCUCAUGCACCUUUCAAGAUCACGGAAGAACUUGAUCAGAGACCCUAGUUCUCUACGGCAAAAUUUGAAAGAUUCUCAGCAAAAGGUAAUCGAUAUCUCUUGUAUUUGACUGCGGAGUUAUAACCCGUGGACUUUCAAGUUGAAUGAUGAUAGAUCAUUCCAAUAUUUGUUUAGAUUUAAGAAUGCCUAUUUUUUUGGUCCACUCCUCUUUUCCUUCCUCACUUCUUUAAUCUCACCUGUUUUCUAUCUUGACAAGGACUUCGCCCCAAAGUUACCCACAAUCUGCACGAUCAUAUUUACUUCUAUCCUUCUUCCUUCUUCUUAACCAGUGUCCAAAGAUAUUUAACUUAGUUCUUGAACUUGUUUAAAUUAACAUAUUUAAAUUAAAUCCUUGAAAUUCCUUCCAUGCAAGUUGAAAAGACAAUCGCUUUAACUUAGUUGAAACCUCAAUUGCAGACACUUUCAAGUCAAAAAAUGGACCAUCUUAUAUUUCCUAAGAGGUAAUUAGUGAAGCUAAAGCAGUCUCUUCCGUAAUAUACAGCAGAUUCUUGAAAGAACCUAGUAAUUACACCUAUACUCAGAGAGAAAUGGUAGUGGCAAUGUCGAAUCAUAUUGAGAAUUUCCAACGAUCUGUCAUAUAAAUGGAAAUAAAUAUUUGCUUUGAUAGGACCGGGCCAGGAAAUAGACAAACUCAAGUUAGCACAAAUUAGGCGGUAUAACCGACCAUAUAAUAGAUAGGCGGUAGAUACCAGCCAUAUAAUAAUUAGGCGGUAAAACCGACCAUAUAAAGACGGAUAACAAAGCAAAUAAAAGACACAAAAGAUUUACGUGGUUCGGUCAAAUUGACCUACGUCCACGGGCGAGAGAGGAGCAAUAUUUCUACUAUGAAGAAGAAAUACAAAAGCCGUAGGAAAGUGGUUCCUAGGCCAAUAGGCACUUACAAAAGAGUUUAGAAAAUAUUCCUAAAUUCAAAACAAGAGAGCCUAAAAUAUUUAACUGAAUGGGAUAGAUGACUCAAGAAGCUAAUGGCCCAUAUAACUCUCUUGAGUGGUGCGAUUGAAACCUUCAUAUGAGCCCCCUAUUUAUAGUUGUAUUUGGGAGGCUUUCCUUCUGCUUCAGGCGAUGUGGGAUGAGGAAAUUCUGCCACAGUCAAGGAUUGCGGCUGAAGAAUUGCGGCUCAACAAAUCUCCACCUUGGCAUAAUUUUGAGUCCCACCAUCGUCAAUAGUAAAUUCGCUCCACCUUCUCCACAUAAGACCCAAUGGGUCUAAAUCACAAAUAACGAACACCAACCAAGUCCAAGCACUGCUUGAACUUGUAAUUUGGAAGAGGCUUCGUAAACAUAUUGGCUGGAUUGUCCUUAGUAUUGAUUUUCUGAAUAAGGACUUUUCCCUCUGCAAUGAUAUCCCGAAUGAAGUGAUACUUCACAUCAAUAUGCUUCGUCCUCUCAUGAUACAUCUGAUCUUUAGUCAAGUGUAUGGCACUUUGACUAUCACAGUGAAUAUCAGUAACACCUUGAUAUAGACUUAACUCGCUAAAUAAACUCUUCAACCACAAGGCUUCUUUGAUUGCCUCGGUCACAGCCAUAUAUUCUGCUUCAGUAGUAGACAAAGCUACGACAGGUUGUAGAGUAGCUUUCCAACUAACAGCACAACUGCCAAUGCAAAAUACAUAGCCUGAAAGUGAUCUUCUCCUGUCAAGAUCCCCAGCGUAGUCUGAGUCUACAAAACCAACCAAAGUGUUAUUAUUUCUUCCAAACUCCAAACAUACAUUUGAAGUACCUCGCAAGUAUCUGAGAAUCCACUUCACAGCCUGCCAAUGUGUUUUACCAGGACAAGAUAUAUAUCUGCUAACAACACUGACUGCUUGUGCAAUAUCUGGACGAGUACAAACCAUUGCAUACAUAAUACUGCCGACUGCACUGGAAUAAGGAACCCGUGCCAUAUAAUCUUCCUCUUCAUCUGAUUUUGGUGAUUGAGCAGCAGAUAGCCGAAAAUGUCUAGCAAGAGGAGUAGAUACUGGUUUAGCAUCUUUCAUGCCAAAACGCUCCAAGACUUUCUCAAGGUAAUUUUUCUGGGUCAAAAAUAACUUCCCUACUCCUCGAUCUCGAUUGAUAUCCAUGCCAAGAAUUUUCUUAGCUGCUCCCAAAUCUUUCAUUUCAAAUUCACUAUUUAACUGCAGUUUCAAAGUGUGAAUUUCUGACAAAUUCUUGGCAGCAAUGAGCAUGUCAUCAACAUAAAGCAGCAAAUAAAUGAAAGAACCAUCAUUUAACUUCCGGAAGUAAACACAACUAUCAUACAUGCUCCUCAAAUAACCAUGACCCAACAUAAAGGAAUCAAACCUCUUAUACCAUUGUCUUGGAGACUGUUUCAAUCCAUAUAAGGAUUUCUUCAAUAAGCAAACAUGGUCUUCCUUACCUUCAAUUUCAAAACCCUGGGGUUGUCUCAUAUAAAUUUGUUCUUCAAGUUCGCCAUGUAAGAAAACUGUCUUAACGUCGAGUUGUUCUAACUCCAAAUUAUACAUGGCAACUAAAGCAAGCAAAACACGAAUAGAGCUAUGUUUAACAACAGGUGAGAAUAUAUCAUUAAAAUCAACACCUUGUACCUGACUAUAGCCCUUUGCAACCAAUCGUGCUUUAUAUCUUACAUCUUCAACCCCUGGAAUACCUUCUUUCUUCUUGAAAACCCAUUUGCAUCCAACAAUUUUCUUAGCUGACGGCGGCUUUACAAGAACCCAAGUUUCAUUACGAUGAAGAGAUUCAAUUUCUUCAUUCAUCGCAAUCAACCACUUUGCAGAGUCAUCACAAGAAACUGCUUCUGAAUAGGUGGAAGGCUCACCAACUGCAUCAGUUUCUUCUGCAACAGACAAAGCAUAUGCAACUAAAUUUACAUAUCUUUGUGGUGGUCGAAUGUCUCUCCUUGCUCUAUCUCUGGCUAUGGAAUACUCUUCUUCUUCAGAACUAUCUUCAACAGUAGAUUCAGGUGUAUCUACUGGCAUUUGAAUAGAAGAUUUGGAUUGAGAAGGACCAGAACUGCCAAUAUCAAGCUCCACCUGCUUCUGUGUACUAUCAGUAGUACAAGGACUAGAAGACUCCUUCUUGGAAGAUAACAGAGAUAAUUCAUCAAAAGUAACAUCUCUACUGAUUACAAAUUUUGGGGAUUUGGGAUCAGAAUACCAUAAUCUGUAUCCUUUCACCCCAGAAGCAUACCCAAGAAAAAUGCACUUUUUAGCCCUAAGCUCCAAUUUUCCAUCAUUCACGUGCAUGUAUGCUGGACACCCAAAAACUUUUAAAUUGGAGUAAUCAGCAGGAGUACCUGACCAAACUUCCUCAGGAGUUUUGAAAUCAAGAGAUGCAGAAGGAGAACGGUUGACAAUAUAACAGGCCAUAUUGAUCGCCUCUGCCCAAAAGUCGUUUGUCAACUCUGCAUUGGAGAUCAUACAUCUUGCUCUCUCCAAAAGAGUUCUGUUCAUACGUUCGGCCACACCAUUUUGUUGAGGCGUCAUCCUGACGGUGUGAUGCCGAACAAUUCCUUCAUUUUUGCAAAAUUCAUUAAAUUCACCUCCACAAAAUUCCAUGCCAUUAUCUGUUCUCAACCGCUUAACAUGUUUUCCUGUUUGUUUCUCAAUCAAAACUUUCCAUCGUUUGAAAGUUAGGAAAACAUCAUUUUUAUGCUUAAGAAAAUAGACCCAAACUUUCCUUGAAUAAUCAUCAAUGAAAGUCAACAUGUACCUGGCACCACCUUUAGAAUGAGCACGAGAAGGACCCCAUAGAUCUGAAUGAAUGUAAUCAAGAGUACCUUUUGUCUUGUGAAUUGCUGGUGAACUGAAGCUGACUCUUUUCUGCUUCCCAAAAAUACAAUGUUCACAGAAUUCCAAUGGCCCGGUACUUUGACCACACAGAAGUCCUCUUUUGCUCAGUAUGCCCAAGCCUUUUUCGCUCAUGUGCCCCAAACGCAUAUGCCAUAAUUUGGUGAUGUCAGUAUCUGACAAAGAUGAUGUUGAAACAGCAGCAGCACCUGUCACAGUAGAUCCCUGCAAAAUAUACAAAGUACCAGAUCUGUGUGCCUUCAUAACAACAAGAGCUCCUCGAGUGAUUUUGAGAACUCCGUUUCCACCUGAAUACCUGCACCCGAUAGACUCAAGAGUGCCCAAAGAGAUGAGAUUUUUCUUCAAAUCUGGAACAUGUCUAACAUCUGUGAGAGUCCUCACAAUACCAUCGUACAUUUUAAUUUGGAUUGUGCCUUUGCCAACUACUUUACAAACAGCGUUUUUGCCCAUUAAGACAACUCCACCUUCAGUUGAUUCAUAUGUUGAAAACCAAUCCCUGUUGGGACACAUAUGAUACGAACAACCCGAAUCUAAAAUCCACUCAUUGUUAGACCUAAAAUUAUUUUCCGUUGCACAGAAAAUGGUUCCAUCAUUCUCAUCAGCUGCUAUACUAGCUUCAGCGGAUUCAGUAUUUUUCUCAACAAAUUUCCCCUUUUGCUUUUCCUUAUUUUUCAAUUUAAAGCAAUCAGAAAUAACAUGACCCUUCUUUUUACAAUAAUUGCACACCACAUUUUUAUGUCUGGACUUGGAUCUAUUUCUAUUUUCUGUGUUUCUCUUUUCAGAUCUACCCCGAACAAACAAGCCAUCAGCUUGACUCCCACUAGUUUCCCCAGUAAUAUCCCUAUCUAUCUGCUCUUUAGAUUUUAACGCAGAUUUAAUUUCCCGAUACAAAAUUGUUUCCUUUCCAUAUAUCAUAGUAUCACGGAAAUACUUAAAGGACUGAGGAAGGGAACAUAAAAGUAAUAGGGCCUGAUCUUCAUCAUCAAUUUUCGAAUCUAUAUUCUCCAAAUCCAUAAUAAUGGAAUCAAAUUUAUCAAGAUGGGAGAGUAUAGAUGUACCUUCAGACAUCCGAAGCAUAUACAAACUCUGCUUCAGAUAUAGCCGAUUCUCGACUGUGUUCUUCAUAUACAAGGCUUUCAAUUUAUCCCACAUAGCCUUGGCCGAAGUCUCCGUUGCUACCUCACGCAAUAUCUCAUCGGAGAGAUUUAGGAUAAUACUGGAUCUUGCCUUCUUAUCCAUCUCAGCAAAAUUUGCAUCUGUCACAUCUUCUGGCUUUUUCUCAAUUCCUUGAAUUGCCAAAUCAACUCCGUCUUGAACAAGAAUGGCCUCCAUCUUGAGCUGCCACAUGCCGAAGUUGACAUUCCUGUCGAAUUUCUCGACAACCGUCUUUGUUAUCGUCAUUGUUGCCACAAAAUCUGUAACUUGAAAUUUGUCUCAAAAAAAAAACUGGCCAAACAAAUAUGCAAGUCUCGUGAGCGGGCCCCACAGGGUGAGCGGACCCCACGAGAUAAGCGGGCCCCACGGGGAUGAACGGACCCCACAAGGUGAGCGGGCCCCACGGAUAAACGGACCCCACAGGAUGAGUGGGCCCCACAGGAUGAACCUGUCUUGCAAAAUAUAACAACCAGCUCUGAUACCAGUUUGAUAGGACCGGGCCAGGAAAUAGACAAACUCAAGUUAGCACAAAUUAGGCGGUAUAACCGACCAUAUAAUAGAUAGGCGGUAGAUACCAGCCAUAUAAUAAUUAGGCGGUAAAACCGACCAUAUAAAGACGGAUAACAAAGCAAAUAAAAGACACAAAAGAUUUACGUGGUUCGGUCAAAUUGACCUACGUCCACGGGCGAGAGAGGAGCAAUAUUUCUACUAUGAAGAAGAAAUACAAAAGCCGUAGGAAAGUGGUUCCUAGGCCAAUAGGCACUUACAAAAGAGUUUAGGAAAUAUUCCUAAACUCAAAACAAGAGAGCCUAAAAUAUUUAACUGAAUGGGCUAGAUGACUCAAGAAACUAAUAGCCCAUAUAACUCUCUUGAGUGGUGCAAGUUAAAUCCUUCAAAGGACCCUUCUAUUUAUAGGCCUCGAGUAGCCGGCUUCUCUUCAGCAGGCUCCGAUGUGGGAUGAGAAGGAAAUGAAAAAUUAUGCCACAAGUCAAAGCUUGCGGCUCUGACAAAACAACAUGCUUCAUGCUCCAUUUCAUAAAUAAAAAACAAAAGGAGCAUUUGCCAAACAAAUCAGCUCAUAACAGAUAAUAAGUUGGAAGCCCUCCCAAUUAUUUUUUCUUUUUUCAAUAAAAACUAAAACAUAAACAGAUAGUUUCUCACUUUUUUUUUCGCCAAACCUCCCUCAGUGCAACAGUAAUCGGUGGUUUUCCAAGAUAAACUUUAAGAAAAAUUCCAAUAGUUUUACAUACACACACUCCCUCCGCGGGGGGUCUUCUCCUUUUAUGAGCUAUAAAUCCCCUAUGCUUGGAAGAAGAACUCCAUAAUUGCCAGAAACCCAGGAUCGCUAUUAUCAUUUUUAUACUUUACACCUUCCACAGUACACUCCUUAACUUCUCGUAUUCCUUGUAAAGAAACUUCAAAUUACACAUACACUCACAGAUACACACUUUCCAUGGCAAAAUGAAUAAAAAAUAAAACGUUACUGAACAGCCUGUCAGAUCAAAUGCAAGGUCCGUCCUCAAGCCAACACCCAAAAGCAUCAGCAACAGCAGAAGAAGAUGAGAUCGCACAAUUCAUCGUUUGCAAUGAGCUCGUCAAUUAGAUUCUCUCAAGCUUCUGGUGCGUUUUCAAAUCUUGGCUUUGUUAGAUCCCUGGAGUUCGUCAAAACCCAUGUGGAGAAAUCUCACAAUCCACAAAACCAAUGACUACAUGUUGCAUAGUUUUUUUUUUCAUGAUUGGUUUUUAUCCAAAAUUAAGCAGUCUUCUCUUCAUUUUGCAUUGUAUUUUAGGCAGUUAAACUACCAGAGAGAGAGAGAGAGAGAGAGAACAUCUUGUGGUAGUGCUUGUUGUUCCAUUAGGCCAAGUUAAAGGUCUGAAUACAUUGAUAUGCUCAAAUUGGCAUUUUCUCAGAUUUAACCAAACUGAACUAAAAUAAGAUCAAACAAAACAUGGUCAAACACUCUUUUUACAACUCAAAUAAAUUGCUUUUACAAUUAAAAACAUUAAUGAAGUAGAUUGGAUUAAGCCAAAAAAACAACAAUUCGUAUAAUUUGACCUCUAAAGUGAAGCGGAAAUCAAAUAGAGAAAAUUGGACAAAAAAUUUAUGUAGUUUGGUUUAAAAGCUACCUACAAUAUCUUAGGUCGUCUUCUCCUUGUGUAAUUUUUGAAUAUGCAACAUAAAAGGCUCGUCUUUUGAUGUUAACAUCUUUAAGUUUGGCAAAUUACAAACGUAAGGACUUUGUUUUGAAACAUUCAUGAAACGAUAGUGAUACAAGGCCGAAAAUGUAUCAUCAAAAAACAUAUGGUUGUGUACUGAUCUAUGUGUGAUGUAUUUAUAAGCUAAUCUAACGUACAAGUGGUUCAAAGCUGAUCUACCACUUUGUAGUGAUUAGGUUCAAAGAAUCUUCACUAAAAUAGUGGUUCAAUCGAAUGACACCAUUAUUUAUGCAUACGAUUAUCAGAUUAUUCUGUAACCUUUGGAAGUCUAUUUUUUAAAAUUUGAAAUGGCCGAGGAUUGUUGAAUAUUUUCAAAAUUUGAUUAGUUGCAAGAUGGGGUCCUGUCUUAGGAUUCAACAUGAGACCCAUCACUAUUUGGUUCUUGUAAUGCUCAGCUAUGUUUUCAGAACCGGACCGGGUAGUGACUUGGCCGAGGUCAGGGGUCAGGGGUCAAUGGAUUCGACCGGGGGUCGAUAGGGGUCGAACCGGAUGACGUCAUAAAUAAAAAUUAUUUAAAAAUUAAAAUAUUAUAUAUAUAAUAUCUAAUAAUAUAUUGAUAUUAAUAAAGGUAUAUUCAUAUAUAUUUGAUGUUUCAAAUAUAUUUAACAAGAAAAUACAAAAAAAUUAGAACAAUCAAGUAGCAAUUUAUAUUAUUUAAUAAAUAUUAACAAGUUAGAAUUAAAAUUAUGAAUUUAAUUGAAAAAUAACAUCAAAUUUUAGGACAAUAUUUAUAAAGUAUCAAAUAUUUGAGGUAUAUCAAUAAGUUUUAACAAUUUAGGGGGUCAAAACAUAAUAUUAAAAAGUUUGAAUUUUUUUUUAAAAAAAUUACUGUUGAACCAGAAAAAUCGGUUUUUUCCCGAUCAAACCCUGUUUUUGACCGGCUUUGACCGGGUUUUAAAUUUUCGGUUUUUUAAUAUGACUCGGACCGGCUACCUGGCCGAUUCCCGGUUCGACUGGCCGGUCCGGUCCGAGUUUUAAAACAGAGAUGCUCAGAAGUUGUUUAAAUCUACUUGACAUCUUUUCAUAUUUUUGACAGUUGAUUAUCCAAAAACUGUCUGAACACUUACAUUGAUAUUGAGGAAAUUUUUUACCAACACAAAUGCACAAAUCAGUGGUGAAAGGUUGAACUCUUGAUCAUUUUCAAUCUCAAUUCUAUAAAGGUCUAGUAGGGAUAGCUUGCUGUAGAAGAUUAUUUUUCCUACUAUUAGAAUUUUUUGCAAAAACACACCAUAGUUCAAGUAGAUUUGUUUAACUUUGUACAAGAGUUAAGACAAGCAUUCUUCAAAUUAUCCUAAAGGAUAUUUUUUCAAAGUUUUUACACACAAAAUUUUGGACAAAUAAAGUUUAAAGGAAAGUGAUCUUGAAUCACGAUUUGAAGUCUUUUUGCUUUGUAACUUUCAGCCAUGUUCUCUUGUAGUCUCUAAUAAUUUUUUCGAGGCUCUAAUUUGGAGACGCAUACAUUGCACGUGGAUUAGAAUAUGGCUAGAAGGAAGACUAGGAGAAUAGUAGAGACCAAUAUAUAUAUAUACUAGUUUUGGGGUGCCACGCAUUGGCGUGGCACUGCCCAGGUUUGUGUUUAAUAUGUAUAUAUAAUUUUGGUGUUAUUUAUGAGAAGAGUGUUGUAUGGUAAUACUGAUGCAAUGGCGUGACAGGAUUUAGUUAUUAUGGGCAACACAUACAAAAGAAAAAAUAAAAAACUAAUAAAUAGAAGAGAACCUGAAAGAAAGAAGAGAAGAAAGCUCCCUAUAGCCUAACCGAAAGCAAAAAACAACGGAGUUAAACUGACAUCACAGUCACCCAGCGAACUCGGAUCAAUCCAGUAUUUGCUCAACAAUGACCAAACGUACCAUGCAGCAGCCAACUGGACAAUGACUCAACGCACCCUAUACACAAUAUAGCGCCACACAGUCACCUACAACAGCACCCACUAACAUGCACCCGAUUCAAUAAACCCCACUAAAAGGCAAUGCCCAGGUUUAAGCUUAGCAUGUAUAAUUUUAGGGUUCUGUUUAUAAUGCAAUGCAUGUAAUGGUAUCCAAAUGGAAAUUCAUGUGCAUGUGGUGAGAAUAUUUGUCUAUAAUAAUGAUAUACGCGUUAUUGAAUCUGGAGUAAAUAUACUUACAGGAGAGAUAAUUAAUUGUAUUAGGUUUGUCAUGCCUAAAUGAUUUUUGUUGAUAAUUUGGAAAGGAUUAUUUUGUUUUAUUUUUUAUUGUUCCUUUGAUAUGUUAUAAUUUCUUUUAUGGGUUAUCCUAAUUGUUAGGCUCAUAUAAUAACUUAGGUAGUAACUAAGUUAGGAUAGUUAAAUUCUGAUUUUUGUUAACACUCAAUUGAAUUCUAAUUAUCAUCUACUAUUAGCUAGUCAAUAGUUUUAGUAUAGUUAAAUUAGUUAAAUUUUUCAUUUUGAAUUCAAAAUUUGAUUUUAUUAUAGUUCAAUUAGUUAGCUAGUCAAUAGUUUUAGUAUAGUUAAAUUAGUUAAAUUCUAAUUAGCUAGUCAACACUCAAUUAAAUUCUAAUUAUCAUCUACUAUUAGCCAGUCAAUAGUUUUAGUUUAGCAUAGUUAAUUUAGUUAAAAUUUUCAUUUUGAUUUUAUUAUAGUUAAAUUAGUUAGCUAGUCAAUAGUUUAAGUAUAGUUAAAUUAGUUAAAUUUUUCAUUUUGAAUUGAAAUUUUGAUUUUUUUUUAACACUCUAAUUGUAAUUAGGAACGAUUAGCUCCUUGAAUUGGCCAAUAUUACACCAAUAACCGGUCUAAUGUGGCUAAUAUUACACCUAUUUGAUUUUAUAUCAUAUAUUUCUAAUUGUAAUUAGGAAAAUUUUGAUUUUAUUAUAGUUAAAUUAGUUAGCUAGUCAAUAGUUUUAGUAUUGUUAAAUUAGUUAAAUUUUUCAUUUUGAAUUGAAAUUUUGAUUUUUUAACACUCUAAUUGUAAUUAGGAACGAUUAGUUCCUUGAAUUGGCCAAUAUUACACUAAUAACCGGUCUAGUGUGGCUAAUAUUACACCUAUUUGAUUUUAUAUCAUAUAUUUCUAAUUGUAAUUAGGAACGAUUAGUUCUUUGAAUUGGCCAAUAUUACACCAAUAACCAGUCUAAUGUGGCUCCAUGCAAUCACCAACAAAUGAAGAAUAGUUAUUGGCACCACCGUAACCAAAGGGCCCUCAGAUUGGUGUAAAUUACUGCAACAACCCACUAAGACACCCUAACCAAAGGCCCCUCAAAUUGAUGAAAAUUACUGCAAUAACCGGACCACAAUUGCUACAGUAACUUGAGCUUGGUACUUUUAUAUCUUGUAAGAUAUAUAUAUAUAUAUAUCCCAACAAUAUAUUUAUAUCCCCAAAUGGAUGCUUUUCUUCUGCCCCAAUUCUUUAAUCUUGGUAGUCCUUGAUGUAUAACUGGCUGCUAAUAUAGCAAGUAUUUGAAUGACAUCAUAUGGUAAGGACAUAAAUGCAUCCACUUAAUACAGUCCAUAUUUGCAUGCAUGUUACAUGACAACGUAGACAUUCAAGAGACCAAAAGUGAACUAAGAAUAUGUCUAGUUGCAUAUCAUUGUGUUGAAACCUUGAAAGCCCUUUUAACUGAUAGUUGUACCUGUACCCCAAAGUUCCUGAUCGAUCGCCAGCCCUGAGUUCGUUAUGUGGAGAAUUGUCUGUCAACAUCUAUAACUACAAGAAGCGAAGGUUGGUUUUUCAUGAUAGUUUCUCACUUGCAAUCCAAUAUCCUGAUCAUAUUUUUCCAAGCUUUGGAAAAAGACGUGAAUUUCACGGGGGAUUUAGAUGGAAAGCAAAAGGAGUAUGGUAGUAAUGAUCUCAAAAAGAAGACAAGGAUCUUCCUUGUCCCAUCGACCUUGGCUGAGAGUUUAGUUGAUUUCGUCCAUAUAUAUGCAGGCCAUGUAGGCUAUGUAUGUUACAUGUUAUAGGCCUCAAAUAAUCUUUUCCAGGCCUUGGUUUGGAGAAGCACAUAAAUCGCACGAGGAAUAUUACAGGAGGAGAAUGGUAGUGACAAUUAAAAAAGACCAAGGAAACCCUCUCAAACACUUGCUUUCGAUUAACAUUUGCUCAGCAUCUGAGAUUAGUUGAUGACGGAAACACUCAUCAACUGUUUGCCAUCCAUAACCUUUGCGUGCAUGUACGAGUAUGCUAGAUGGCUGAAGCUUCAAACAUACAGCUGAAUUUGAGUUUUUUUUUUUUUUUUUUGAGGUUUUAGACGGUGGAUUUUGGGAUUAAUUUCUCAAUCAAGUGCAAGAAUGUUGACCAAAAUAUGGAUUUACAACUUUAUGCUACUUGUCAACUUUGGCUGAUAAUUAAAAAAAAUGUUGCGUUUGCAACUACCUGCCAACUCUUUGCUCUCAUUUUCUACGUUUAUGCUUGAGAUUCUGAAAUUUUAAGGGGUUUGAAUCAAUAGUUUUAUGGUUAAAUUCACUGAAGUGUGACAAAUGGACUCAAAUUGAAAAAAAAAAAAAACAAAAGUAAUUUAAGCAAGGUAUCAUAAGAGGGAGAAUGAAGAAGAAAAGAGGGGAGAAAUCAAUCCAGAGAAUGAACAGUACCACGACAGAAACUGUUAUAAAGGAUAAAAGAGUUGCAACAAUGAUGAGGGAUGUGAGAGUGGUCUUAAGAUACAUAGGUCUUACCAUUUCCGAAUCUAAUCUGUGUAAUCAAUAUAUUUUUAAUGCUUUCUUUUUCUUUCAACAAUUUUUUUCUUGUAAUAAAUUUAAAUUAUUCAUUUAUUUUUCUAGAGUAACUUUACUUAAUCAGGCUUUAAUUUAUUAAUUUUUUCUUAGAAACUAAGUAUUUGUUUCAUGAGAAAAUGGAUUACUGCAUCUUUUAUAUUUAAUUGAAAAGGUUACGUAGCCUUAGGUGUAUAAUUAUUGUAAAAAAUUUAAUUGCUAUCUCAAAAACCUUUUUUUUUUUUUGGUUUAUGCAUCCUAUUAUGACAUAUUUAUGUAUAAAAGUUAUUAAAAAUUGGUAUGGUUGUCGACUAAUUAAUAUGUAAUAAUUUUCUGGAAUAAACAUCAUAAAACAUAUAAGAAUAUCAUUCAUAUUUCUUUUCUUUUUCGGUUAUUUAUUCCUUGGACAUGUUCGUAAAUAAUUAACAAAAAUACGUGCAUUAGCACGGCUGAAAUACUAAUUAUUAUUACUUCAAUGAAAUCCACGAUGGUUGUACGUACUCUUUUAUUUGAAAUUUAUAUUUGUCGACUUGAAAAUGACCAAGAACAAUGCAACACCAUUUACGUGGCUUAAAUUAAUACGACAUGAUUACUACAACUAGGAAUAAUCUAUUUCUCAUGUAGAUCGACUAUGGAAAAAACUAUUUGGACACAAAAACUGCAUCGUCUUCUAAUUCUUUAGUUGUCCAAAUUGCUUCAUGAACUUCAAAAUUGUCCUUAAACUUUAGAUUGGGAUAUCUUAUUCCUAAAAUGCAAAAGCUUCUGCCAUUUUAAUUAGCCCUUCUCAUAAGAUAAUCAUUGCAUUAAAAACUUACUUAAACAAGCAAACUAUGAUUGAAAAUAAUAGAAAUGCUAUUCUCUUUAUCGUGAAAGGACCUUAUGCUACAAGUGAACUACAACGUGAUAAAGUCAUGACAAUAGAUAGGGAAGCUUGGAUAAGUACCAAAAUGUUGCCUAAUCUUGUGAUCUCUUGGCCUAAAAUUUAAUGUCGGUGUUACAAUAACAAGUUAAAUAUUUAGUUAAUGGUCAUAGUAAAAGCAAAUAAUCUUCAAUCAGUCAAAUGAGUCCCAUCGUGAAUUAAUAGACAUACAUCAACUUAAUUAUCUAAUUUUUUUUUUUUUUUUUUGGAACGACACCAUUUACACAUCUAAAAAAUAAGCAACCAUAUUCUUUAGGGUAUGAUCUCAACUGUAUAUGGAUAUAGAAGUCACAAGUUCACGCCUCACUUAAUUAUUUGAGGUCGAUUUGGUUUUGCAAAGACAUAUAUUUACUAGUCAUAAAUAAUAUAUAUAUUAACUAGGUAAUUUUUGGAGCCAAAAUUAUUCUCUUUCCCAGGUUGCAGUAAACAACUUAAAGAACCUAAUUCCAGCUUACCUGCGGAUUGAUAUAUAAAUUGGGAUUUUGAAUCUUGAAUCUUCUUCAAAUUAUCUGUCGUGAAUUAGAUUGAAAGACAUAUUCAUUUUCUUAAAAGAAAAAAGCAGUAAACUGAACUUAUAACCCGUCAUGGGUCUAUCACAUCACAGGGAAGGAAUGUUGCAACACCAAACAGUGAAAAUGUCUCCAAUGAAACAUCAUAAUAAAAAAUUCCCAGCAACUCUACAAAAAUUUUGACACAAACUUUCAAAUAUAGAAGUACUGCGACACUUUCUUGAAACCUUUCUGUGUUUUGCACAAACUCAAUAGCCAUGCCAAGAAACAUCAUGAUUUGCACGCACCAUGUUUCAAGUUUGAGAUCCCUCCUAUCCUGGAACCCAAACUCAGCAACUACUUGAAUUCCUCUUAAGUAGCCAUCUUGUCUUGUCAGGGGAUCCCUUGUAGAUCCAUCAUCUUUCAAUGUCACCAAACCAUCAAGCAUGACCAGCGCAGAGGCAUAUAGAGUUGUGAACGGAUGAACAGUCAAGUAAUAACUAUACGAUUUGAGCUCCUCAAAUCGAGAGUAACGUUGUCUUUGCGAUCCCUUGACGUAUAUACAAGAUGAAACCGAAUCUUCUGAAUCUAAAUACAUUGAAUUUUGGUCUACAAUGCUUGGGGAAUGACCAAAUUCUCCACACUUGAGAUCAAAACGAGAAUUGGACGAGAAGUUUAGGAGGAAUUAAGUAACUAGAGAAUAGUAAAGCUGGUCUGCAACAUAAAACAGGGAUUUUGCCACAUCCUCUGAUAUUGCAUCAGACUUGAACUUUGCAUCUUUCGUUGUCUAUAUGGCCCCAAUCAAUUAAAUGGAUGCAAAUCAUGCAAUGAUGUGGAGGCCAGUGUAUAGUGUAUAAUCCGUUAUAAUCUUACAUGUAUGCAUAAACGGAUGUAUAGCAUGAAUCUUUCACACAUAAACACCUGUUUAUGCACACUGGUGUGAUUAAUUAGCCUUCUCAAGUGGGAAAACUAAUUAACAUAAUACAUAGGGCUCUGAAAUCCUUGCCAACUUAGAGUAGGAGUACGCCUAGACUGCUAGUGAUGCUUAAAUGCAAUUAGAUGACGGGUUUUAUUUAAUCAGAUUUUCAAACGAUUGUAGUUAUUCUUGGUGCUUUAUGCAUAAAUGGAGAAACCUCAUUCAUUGCUUUUGGAUAUCUUAUCACUCAUAGAAAAGUAUACAUGAUAGAGUAGAAAAACAAAAUUCUCUGCUUAAUUAGCGAUGAUUUGAUUUAUUAAACCAAUUGAACAUGUACACUGGGGUCAAUUUCGAAAGAUUUUGCACUUCACACUUGUAAACGAUAUUAGAUUCUCAAAUAAUCACACAAAUUAAGGCGUUUGAUACUUGGCACGCUACUAGUCAGCUAGUUAUAGGCUAGAAUAUGACGGUUUAUCAUAUUUUCAUUUUGCCACUUAAAAUGAUCAAAGCGAUUGUGAUGAUGAUGAGGGUUGAGGGAAGUGAAAGUGAAAGUGACAUUAAUUAUCAUUUUGAUUGAAAGCUGUGUCCUUCCAAGCUUGAGAUAUAUAACGAUCUAAGGGGUAGGAAGCAUUUUCUUUUCUGCGGAAAGAAGGGUGGAAGUGACUGAAACAGGAGCAAUAUAAAGAUUUGGACAUCCAGGGAAUGCAGCACAGGAGAAGGGAAUUAAAGGGAGUGGUGACUGAGAAUCUUGUUGAUCCUCCUGAUAUAUGCAUGCUCUUACCUCAGAAUCCUCUAGCUCUGAAGAGGGUAAUGAUGAUUCUGAUGAUAACUACGACAAUAACUAGGAAGAACCAGGGAGCUCUAUUAUCACUUUUAUGGGCCCAUAAAUAUCAAACAACAAAAAUAAUUUAUCAAGCAAGAAAGCACAAAACAAAAAAUGGAGUCUAUCAAAAUGCAGCGGCUACAACUUACUAAAGAAAUGGAGACAGUGCCUUUAGUCACUAUUUCGACAUUUUGAUGAAUGGCUGACCGUGUAUUUCCUAAUUGUAGAAUUACGUAGGUAAUUUGUGGAGCCAAGAUAUUGUUUUCACAAUUUGCAGUGCAUAUAGAGGAUUAAUUUGCAGUACAACUCAAAAAAUGGAAUUCCACACAUACACACGCACACACAUAUAGAGGAUUAAUUCUUCUUACAUCGUCACACUGUAUAUGCUGAUAGGAUUGAAUGAAUGUCAUAUUAUUUGAAUUUGAAUUUAAACAUUAAAUUUUGUAUAUGUGAUAUGCAUUAAUUUAAACCCGUUAGUGUAUACGCUAUUAAUGCAUAAAAGAUUUACUCAUUUAUAUAUAUAUAUAUAUAUAUAUUUGGAAAAACACGUGACUUGCACGAGAAUAUUAAGACCAAGAUGAAUAUGAAAAAUUUCUAUCCUAUAAAGUUUUUUGGGUUUCGAUUGCAUGUACAAGGGUAGACUUGCCAACAAGCCAAACACCAAAGUGCAACAGAGAAGUGGCCCUAACUAACCUCCUUCGAUUUCUCCAUCCACGAAAAAUUAUAGCGCAAAUGAUUCUUGCGUCCCUAUAGAUUAUGUUUUAGGAAGCACCAAUCCUGGUUAAACAAUUUGUGAAACAAGGCUUUAAUAUGAGUAUAGAUUAUGAGUAUAUAUAAAUUAACAAAGGCAAUUUCUAGAGGGUAUACAACUUGUUUAAUUCAGAGAAUUAGAAUAUCGUACAUGGUAUGCUUGUCUUGUGGAUGUUUUUUGAAUUUAUUAUCUCUCUGUAUAUUCUUUUUUUUUUUUUACAAGUCUUGAAAAUAUAUUGUUCUAUGUCUUUUUCCAAAAUAAAUUGUAUUUUUCUUUUCAAUUUGUCAUUUUAUGGGGAUAAAAAGUUCCAAAUUCAUAAUGGUCUCUUUUUUCUUUUUUUCUUUUUUUAUAAGCCCUAACGGUCUUGUUUUGAUUUGGUUCAGAAUUUGGGAACCUACUAUCUUUUUAUAGUUAAAAAAGAGUAUAAAACUAAGUCACUUUAUGAGCCUUGACAGUAGAUAUUAACAUUUGUUGGAAAAAACAUAUGAGUCUUGAUAGUAUUAUGCUUCUUUUAAAUUAAAAAAAAAAAGGGAAAAACAAUGGCACAAAGUUGGGCACACUUUUGUUCUUAGUUUUACACAAAUGAAUUAUUAGAUUUUUAAACUUAUGUUGUAAAAAAAAAAAGGACAACUAAACAAAAAAAAAAAAAAGAGGAAAUGAAAAGAAUAGAGAUGAAGCUGAAACACAAAUAGUCAAACUCUCAUUCCACAUUUGUUGAUCUAUUUGAAAUGGUCUUUUUUAUCAUUUGCAAAAUUCUUUUCUUACCAGAAGUUUUCCAAAACUAAAGACACCACCUUUUAAAUACCAAAAUUCAUUAAUUAUAGUAACGUUAUUCACAUUAACGAGUGCCCAUUGAACAUCCGUGGACCAAUUAACAAAUAUGUGAAAUGAGGCUUUAAUAGAUUUAAUGACAAUAAUAGUUUUCUCGACUGUACUUCUCGGAUGAGUAGCUCACCCUCAAGUAUUUUUAUCUCUCUUUUUCGAGAAGAAAAUAUUAAAAAGAUAGGUUUUCUUGAGCAAACAUUAAUCUUCUAUCAAUCACAGAUAAACUUGUACGCACAAAAAAAAGAAAAAGAAAAAUAGAAAAUGAUACAAGUAGUACAACUAGUCAACCCAAAGGAAAACUUAGAAUCCAUUUGGAUUGCAUUUUUUUUUUUUUUUUUUGGAGAGUUUUGUAGAAGAAUUCAUGUGACGAUUUUUUUUUUAGGUGUGAUGUAUAUAAGGUAAAAAGGUAAUUGAAAAAUGUGAAAAUGAAUAAUUUGAUGGAAACUCAAAAAAAUUUUCCACUGAAAGUACAACCCAAACAAGGCCAAAUUAUUUACCUUCGGAAUGCUAGAGGCUUUGAGAAGUUCUGUAUAGUGCAAACAAAGCAGUAUUGGUUUACUUUAGAGAAUUGAAAUUAUCUUCCUCAAUCAGUACAUCGAAAUGCAAAAGAAAACAAAUCCAUCCAGCCUAAACUUAUUUUCAAUUGAAGUAUGAAAUUAUCCUGAAUUAAUGCCUUUACAUAGAUAGCUCUCAUUACCCUUACUCCUUCUACUCAUCAUGUUCAACUUUUGGUCUGUAAUCUGCUGAGGUGCACAGAUGUUGCACCUUGCCUGAGCUAUAUUAAUGGUAUUUGCAUUUAGUUGCCACUUAGACAUGAGGUAAUAUGCAUUUGUCUUCUUAACAUCUAUAUAUAUAUGUGUGUGUGUCUGUCACAGAAGGAGCACCUGUAGUACAUUUUAAGUUGUACCCAAUUUAAGCUUAAAUGUGUAAUUAAGUGACACACCUACUGCAAUUGUAACUCAUAAAUAAAUAUGCUUAAUUACCCAAAAAAUAAAAUAAAAUAAAAAACUCACAAUACAUACCAAGAAUCUUUAUAAAUGUAUUUUUGAGCAUUUUAAUUAAUCUUUAUAAAUCUUAAUUUAAGAAUAUAGAGAUGCUUUAAUUACGUAGUUGUCAAUUCUAAUUCUUGAACAAUUUUGUUAAGCCUGUUGUUACAUCAGUUUCCCUCAUUUUCUAAGACAUUUCCAUAUCAGAAACUGAAAAAAAAAAAAAAAAACAUGUUUUUUAGCUACCCAAAUAUAUAUAUAUAUAUACAUGUUUUUUUUUUAAUGAAUUCUGCGUAUUUGAUGCCUACUGUUGAGUGUUAUCCAAUACUGCUACUAAAUAUUCAUACAUCAAUAUAUGCAUAUCUCUAAUUACAACUAGUACUUUGAUAUAAUUAAGCAUAUAACUAUGAAGAAAAUUGAUUAUAUAUUUGUAAGGUCUGCUGCUUCUGUUGGCCGACUUAAUUGGUGGCCACGAGAACUCUCAUUUUCAUCCAAGUCUGGCGACGUACCCCAUUUUGCAUGGGGGCAAUCCGCCAUCUCCAUUGAUGGAAGUUGUUGUUUUAGCCAGUAGAUCGAGGACGGACCAUAUUGGGCUCCUCGCCAGGAGCUGAACCCAGCUGGACCAGAGCCAUCGGUGUUCAAUCAGGGCAUAGACUGCACUACUUCUGCUGAUCGUGUGGAGCUUAACAUAGAGCAGCUGCCGCAUCUUUUUCCCUCUAUAUUACCGGCGACUGCAAUGCAUUAAUACUUCAUCAUGAAACUUCAGACAGCAGCGAACCAGAAAAUUUUUCUUCAUCUUAAUUUCUCUACACUUUGAACCUAGCUAGUUCGUUUUAGUAUGCAGAACUGUUGUUUAGUUGUAAUAUAUUUGGUUUCAAUUUCUCUCAACAAGAAAUUCUAGCCGAUUAAGGGCCGAGAGUAGAUGAAUUUAGUUCAAGAUCUGAAGUGAAUGCUCUCUUAGAAUUCAAGCUCCAUUAUUGAAAACUGAAUAUUCAAGAUUGUGCUGUCUAAACAUCUCACUUUCAUUCGAAUUGCAAUAACACAUAUUUGAAACAAUUGGACCAACAUACUUUAAUAGCUCGUGUGAAACAAUUUAGGGCACUUCUAAGCUCUAGAUGAUGAAAUGUGCAACCUUCGUGAAAAAUAUAGAUUUAAUUUAAUUAUUCUAAAAGAAAAAGUAUAAAAAAAAAAAAAAAAAUCCAUGGCCUAGUUAUUUCCAAAACAGAAAUUAAAAAUUUUUACUUAAGACUAUAGACUAGUGCAUUCACAAUACCACCCCAAAAUGGAUGUUUAACUAGCUAGCUAAUAUGGCAUGUAUUUCAAUAUAUGAUAUGUUAAGAAAAUAAAUACACCAUUAAAGUCCAUAUUUGCAUGUACAUUUUUAUGUGACAAUGUAAACAUUACACACUCAAGAGUCCAAGUAGGACUAAUGUCCAGCUGAAUACAUCCCAUCCCAGAAGGUCCUUGUCUGAAACCUUGAGAGCUGAUAGUAGUAGCAUCAGUACCUAAAAAUUCCAGCCACCCCAGAAGCUAGCAGAACCACCAGGUAAUUAAUUACAUAUACAAGAGCAAAAGGUACAAAACUAGUCCCAAUUUCAUACUUUGGAACAUGAGUAGUGAAGUUAAUAACUUUUUUUUUCUUGAUUUUUUGGACUUGCUUGGUUUAGAUUAUGAAAGUCUAGACUGAACUGUUGUCCAAUUGGGCUAUAAAUGCUGUGAUCAAUGUCUUUUUGGAUUUCACUAAAUUCCUUUUUUGCACUAUCUAUGACAUCAAAUUCAACUUCUACAAGAGAAGAACUUGCGAACAAUGGUUUUUAGGUUUGUAAUCCUGGGUGCACACAUGUUGCACCAUGCCUGCGCUAUACUGGUAUAGCAUUGAGUUUUCACUUUGGCAUAAGGUAAUAUGUGCAUUAAUCUUCUUACCAUCUAUAUCCGUCGAAAAGAUCAUCUAACCUGGAUUUUACUGCUUUUAGAUGAACUCUUAAUUAUGAAUAUCGUGUUAAGAAUCUAGGCCAAAGUUCAAUGUCUGAUUAAAUUCUUUUUUGGCAACUGAUAUCAUCUAAGAAAACAUCAUUAUAUUUAUAGAGUGAUUUUGCCAUUAGACGAAUAUUUGGAAAAAUAAAAAAAUUAGGAUGAGACUGCUCUAUCAAGGGUUUUAAUCUGUAGGUCUAACAUUUUGUUCUACUAAAGGUUGAUUGGUGUGAGUAAUGUAUCAACUCUAAACAAAUUAUUGGGAAUCCAUUACAAGUAAUAUCUGCUACUUCUAGGUAGAUUGAAGAUUGAAGUAUAGUGGCAAUUAAGCAAAUUUUGUUGUGAAAAUCUAGACUGGACUCUUGUCCACUUGGCCAUAAUUUUUGCAAUCUUUAAGUGCCUAAGAAACUAGCUUAAUAGAAGUGCAUGAAGCGUUACAACUAUUAUGAUCCCAUGAAGCUAGUAACAAGGCUGCUAGGCCAAUCUCUUCCUUUGUUCUAUGAACCCUACAACCACCAGAGACUUUGUUCUGUGGUCGGGCAGAAAUUGUACGCAUGAAUGGAGCCCCAUCCACCCACAAAUCCACCACCAAAAGAAAAAGGCGGAAGAGCAACAGAUGAUGUGAUUUCCCAAUACUAUCACAUAAGAUCAGCUUUCCCUCCUCCUCUUGCCCGGGCUUGGGACCGGCUGUCUGUGGAGACAGGCGGAGUUACAAAGCCAUCCUACCAAACAAAACAGCACAAGCAUACAAGCCAGCCACAUUCAAGAACAAUAGAGAAGAAAGUUAUCCCCACCAAAAGGCAAGCUACAAACGUCUCAGCAAUCUCACAAAUAGCGAAAUAGACUUGCAACAAUCCAUACCAGAGUACAAGAGAACUCUACGAAUAGCACAGCACACCUUUCCUUAAUAAUAUACCUUUUUUUUUUUUUGGGGGGGGGGGGCCGCGGGGAGGAGGGUUUUUAAGUGUCCACACGGAGGGGGGGCCUUCAAACCCAUUAGACAGCCUUGAAUUUACCAAUUAGAUCACAAAUUACCACACAUUCCUUCAAGUGACUAAAAAAAAUAAAAAUAAAAAUUUUAAAAAUUGAUGCUAAAAAUUUUACAUAAUGCUAAAGGCUGAUAAAAGAUCAAAAAUUACAUAGUGCAAUCAUCCAACAACAAAUAGACCCUACUUAUGGGACUUAAAAAGUCAACACACAUCACAGGGGCUUAAGCUACACAGGUAAAUCAUACAGAGAAUGACAAGUUGCCCUGGAAAACGGGAACUCUUUCAUUUCUUGAAUCCACCGAAAUCAACCUCAAAAGUUGUACGCACUUCAAAUAAAUUAAUGAUUUUCAAGACUUGUACACAAGGGCAUUUGGAUUCCUCUCAAUCUGUCAAUCAUUUAUGAUUGGUUAUAUGAACACAAUACACCUGUGCCAGGGCCUGUUAAGAUGCAACCACCUUCCCAAAACCACAACGCAUACAACUAUUGCAGAUCUUAGAUUGGACCUCUUGAUGCCACACCAUAACUGUUAAAGGCCACAAGCAAAUAUUGUCCAAUAAACCCAAGGAUAACAAAAUUCAGUUGCACUUUAAAGUUGCAUACUAAACCUAUGUACCAGAGGAUCACAAAAUUCAAGUAUGAAAUGAAAUUCACAAACAGUACCAGUACCAGUGGUAUGUAAGUUGAUGACUACGAAGACAGAUAUUGCACGCAUCUGUUCUUACAUGACUUAACAAUACCAGUACUGAUACCAGUUGUAUGCAAGUCGACGACUCUGAAAACAGAUAUUGCAUGCAUCUGUUCUAACAAGAUUGAACCGGCAUCUGCUUAUGAAGUGAGAAUAACCACCUGACACUGCUCUCUUCCACUCAAUUGUAGAUAAUGAACGCCAGCAGCGAGUACUCAAUGGUGAUGGAGAAACAGUUGAAGUUAUUGUGCAUAGUAACGGACAAACCAGUUAAAACAUACAAAAAACCCAAGAAAGGAUAGGAGGCAAGAAAUACACCCCCAACUUGACCAUGACCAUGAACUUGAUAAUCCAUACUGAGUUGCAUCUUAGGCCACACCCCAUAGUAUAUCAGAAGUUUCCACAUUCAAAGUCGUCAAAUCAAAUUCCAUGCAGACUAGAAAGCACUUCAUCUUUUCCAUCCAUAUGACUUAAAAGGAGAAACAGAAAUAGAAAUCCCAAUUUCUGGACAUUGAACUCAAGAACUGGCUGAGGUAAAGAUAUCUUAAAUUCACUGGAAUAAGCAUGCUUGCUACAGAAUAUACAAUACUCUGCUAAAUACCACCAUAACUCCAGAUAACGCUCAUACUAUCAAAGCAGAUUCUGCAAACUUCCCAGUAUAUUAACACCACCAUCAUGAAUAAACCUGGACAAACAAAAUGACACUACGGCUAAGCUCAGACAUAUCCAUUACAAAUGAUCAGGAUAAGAAACCUCUACAUCUGUUUUGAUUUCAUGUUGAUCGGUAGUAUGCAAUUAGGAUAACUGUGCAGAAGCUAGGUAGAAUGGGUUAGUAAUGCAGAAAUUCAGGCUUGAAAACACAGAUCUGACUUCAACUCCCAGCCCUUCCUGAAAUUGAAUGCCGUAAUUUAAUUUUAAAAACUACGUAGUACUGUACAAAGAGAACCAAACACAACCACAAGAGAGAAGAAACUCCUUUGGAAUCAUGCAGACCACAAUACCCGGUGACAAAAUGACCAGAGAUUCUUGAAUUCAAGCUCCCUCAAAUGAAGACCAGAUAAAGCCAAGUUAAUAACAACUCAGCAAAUGCAACAGACCAAGUAGGGAUAUCAGAGAGAGAGAGAAACUCCUCUGAAAUCAUACAGACCACAAAAUCAGAUGAGACAAGAAAUUCUUGAAUUCAAGCUCCCUAAAUGGAAACCAAAUAAGACUCAAGUUAAUAAUGAGCCCAACAAUCAUCACAUUCAGCAUAUGACAGACCAGGUAGGGAUGAGAGAGAAAUCAAUCCGGAUCAUGGUGAACCAUAAAUUUUCUCAUCCCUCCAAUAAAGUUCUUUGCAUCUCCUAAUAAUUCACCCCAUCUGUUAUUCUAUAACAAAAACGUCAAAUAGUGACAGAGAGAGUUUUGACAUAUCAAGAAGCUAAUUGAGGUCAAAAUUUUCCAAAAACUUAUAAUAGACCCUGAAAAACAUGACAAACCAAAUAUUCCUAUUCCCCCUCUUUUUUCUUUCGAUACUCGCUAAUGAACUCAAUAAUAAAAACGCUGAAAACACAGCAUAUCUGGAGAACCAUCAUGACUAAUUCAGAAUUCAUCCAUCAAAAGCUAAUGAAUUGAUGUAAUAUAUGUGAAACAUCCCACCGUACAACUCAAUUCCAUAAGGCCUAAACCAUUACCUUGACCCUAUUACUUGAAAAACCUAACCAUGAUCAAAACUCCUGAAUCCAAUCUGCAGAAUUAAACAAAUUAUAAAGCCUGAAUAAUGCGCCAGUGAUGUUCUCAACAAACACAAUAACAGAAUGACAUGAAGAGAGAUUCCAUGAUUCAAACCACAGUACCAUGGAUAUCUGAAAAAGAAUUAUCAUCCAAGAGACCUCUAUUUCUUCACAGUCCUCUCGCUAGGACUAGAGUUCUGCAAGGGAGUACCAGGACAUCAGAACCCAACUUAAACUCGACACCAAGAUGAAAACCAAUAUCAGAGCUGUCCAUUAGUUCCAACUACCCAGAAAUUUAAAUUAUAUUACAUACCAUCAGAACUGAUUAAAAUACGAAGCCUAACGAUAAUUCUCUUUAGAUCAUGAUGAGUUAUCAAAACACCAGGAACCGCCUAUACAUACAAGUUCAAUGGCAGAAUUAGAUAAAUUUACAAUAAAACAAUCCCCAAAGAAAGAAAAAGCCUGGGAUUAAGCUAAUUGUAAAUUAAUGAAGAAGAAAGUAAAAUAGGUGCAAGUGAAUUAAAUGGGCAGGUCGCAGGUGACCAAUAAUUAACAGUUGGGAUUAAGCAGUCAUACACAAUUGCUAUUCUCUUCCUUGAUGCAUAAGGUAUUUCCAAAAACAAGAAAAUUUUUAAUUAAAUUUAAAUUAUAUAAUAGCCUACACACAUCAGAAGGACCAAAGCCCAAAAAAUCCUCAAGGAGGAAGGAAUGGUAAGACUAGGUAAGAAGACAAACGCCCUCCAAAAUAAUGUACUAGCCUUUGAUCUGAGGAUAGAGACCUUAAAGUUUUCACCACACCUCCAAAUCACUGGAAUCCUAGACUUAACACAAAAUAAUAUACCAAAUUAAGAACAAGUAGAGAAAAUCAUUUUUCAAGAAAAUGAACCCAAAAAAAAAUUAAAAGAGAGUAGGGAAAGAGAGAGCAAAUCAAAAUCUUAUCACAACCGAGUAGCAGGAUGAUACUCUCGCAGUUCAAGCUUCCCUAAAAUCAAGACAACAGAUAGAAGCCAUCACCAAAUAUCCCCAGUGAAUUUUUCAAGGAAAGAGAACAAAGAAAGACCAUGUUGCCAAGAAAAGCCCCCGAUUUAAUUCACAUCUAUGCAAAAGAAAGCUCUUCUCGCCUCCACACACCAGAAGUCCACUAUUCUUGAAAGACGGCAUCAAAAGAACCAGAGAAGAAACACAGAUCUUGAAACAUCACCAUGAUCGAAACAAACAGCAAUGCAACAGUGAUACAGAAAGCAAAACUCCAGAUAACGGAUUACGUUCACAGCCAUCCAAUAAGUCUAAGAAUCAUCACAUCCAAAAGCCCAUAUUCAGUCACCACCCUCAGGAGGAUUCUGCAAGCGAGUGAAAACAUAAACAGCCAACAGAGACUGAACUUGGCACAAAACUGAAAUAAAAAUUGUAGAUCAUCUACCAUAUUAUCAAAACCAAUAUAUGUAGCAUUUAUUCUUCUUCAGACCAUGAUGAAUCAGCGACACCAAAAUCCCUACCUAUACAAACAUGUUAGAUAAAAGAAUUUAAUUACCGUUAGAUACCAAGCACCGCAGAGCCAUCACCCAAAGAGAGGUCCUGGACUAAGCUAAUCCAUCAAGAGCCAAGUAAAGAACAAUUGGGUACGAUAACUUUAGCUUAAUUGACUGGGCAGAUUGAAAGUGAUUCAUACAGUCCAGAAAUAAACAAAGUUGAGAAUAAGCAGAGAGAUACGCUUGAUUAUACCCCCAUCUAUUUCUCAUGAAUCAGGAAAGUCAACUCUGCCGAAAUUACUGCCAGACCAAAUAACGGACACAAUAAGAAAAUAAGAAAUAUUACAAAUAAGGUGUCAAAACCCCUAAAUUCCUCAUGCACAAACAAUACAGACAGAGCAAAUCUACCAUCCAGAGAUCUCUCAUUGAUUCGAAGGAAAAAACAGAACAAGUAGGGGAGGAGCUUUCUCCAAAAUCUUGUAGACCAGAAUAGCAGGGUAACAAACAUGACGAGAAUGCUUUGUGAUCCAAGCUAUCCUAAAAUGAAGACAACAUCGAGAUGCCAUUACCAACAAACACCAGUGAUUUUUAGGCAAAAAGGAACGAACAAGAGAACUCCUGAUCUACCACGUCAAUCCAUAGCUCUUUUUGCCACCAUAUGUAGAACUCCACCAUUCU
Molecule: long non-coding RNA, 33583 nt
Filed under: Coffea arabica (coffee)
Lineage: Eukaryota; Viridiplantae; Streptophyta; Magnoliopsida; Gentianales; Rubiaceae
Description: long non-coding RNA (CARA_LNC001390)
Source: RNAcentral